UACGUAGGUGGCAAGCGUUGUCCGGAUUUACUGGGCGUAAAGAGCGCGCAGGCGGUCGUUCAAGUCGCGUGUGAAAGCCCCCGGCUCAACUGGGGAGGGUCACGCGAUACUGAUCGACUCGAAGGCAGGAGAGGGAAGUGGAAUUCCCGGUGUAGUGGUGAAAUGCGUAGAUAUCGGGAGGAACACCUGAGGCGAAGGCGGGUUGCUAGGCUGACACUGACGCUGAAGCGCGAAAGCCAGGGGAGCAAACGGG
RNAcentral lists this ribosomal RNA (253 nucleotides) under uncultured bacterium. RNAcentral describes it as "partial 16S ribosomal RNA". It matches the Rfam family "Bacterial small subunit ribosomal RNA", at positions 524 to 776 of the family's 1533-position model. The record is from RNAcentral.